GACGAACGCUGGCGGCGUGCCUAACACAUGCAAGUCAAGGAGAAUUCCGCUUUCGGGUGGAUAGUAAACUGGCGAACGGGUGAGUAACACGUAGGUAAUCUACCCUCGAGAUUGGGAUAGCCUCGCGAAAGUGGGGAUAAUACCGAAUAAAGUCUCGAUAUAAUUUGUCGAGAUGAAAGAUGGGGAUCUUCGGACCUAUCACUUGAGGAUGAGCCUGCGCCUGAUUAGCUAGUUGGUAGGGUAAUGGCCUACCAAGGCAACGAUCAGUAGCUGGUCUGAGAGGAUGAUCAGCCACAUUGGGACUGAGAUACGGCCCAAACUCCUACGGGAGGCUG
This 335-nucleotide ribosomal RNA is filed under the name uncultured Deferribacteres bacterium. RNAcentral describes it as "bacterial SSU rRNA". It matches the Rfam family "Bacterial small subunit ribosomal RNA", at positions 28 to 351 of the family's 1533-position model. Lineage: Bacteria; Pseudomonadati; Deferribacterota; Deferribacteres. The record is from RNAcentral.